RNAcentral lists this ribosomal RNA (633 nucleotides) under uncultured bacterium. RNAcentral's name for it is "bacterial SSU rRNA". The stretch from base 1 to 536 matches the Rfam family "Bacterial small subunit ribosomal RNA", at positions 338 to 873 of the family's 1533-position model. The record is from RNAcentral.
CCUACGGGAGGCAGCAGUAAGGAAUAUUGGUCAAUGGACGAAAGUCUGAACCAGCCAUGCCGCGUGAAGGAUUAAGGUCCUCUGGAUUGUAAACUUCUUUUAUAGGGGACGAAAAAGGGUAUUCUUACUCACUUGACGGUACUCUAUGAAUAAGCACCGGCUAACUCCGUGCCAGCAGCCGCGGUAAUACGGAGGGUGCAAGCGUUAUCCGGAUUCACUGGGUUUAAAGGGUGCGUAGGCGGGUAGGUAAGUCAGUGGUGAAAUUUCGAAGCUUAACUUCGAAACUGCCAUUGAUACUAUCUAUCUUGAAUAUUGUGGAGGUUUGCGGAAUAUGUCAUGUAGCGGUGAAAUGCAUAGAUAUGACAUAGAACACCUAUUGCGAAGGCAGCAGGCUACGCAUAUAUUGACGCUGAGGCACGAAAGCGUGGGGAUCAAACAGGAUUAGAUACCCUGGUAGUCCACGCCCUAAACCGAUGGAUACUCGACACACGCGAUACACUGUGUAUGUCUGAGACGAAGACAUUAAGUUAUCCACCGUCGGAGGUACGUCCGCCGAGAGUAGAACGUUAAAGUUAGUAAGUUAGUACGGACGUGAGACGUUGCCGACGGACGACCGACGAGGGGAGGGUAGGG